CACUCCUACGGGAGGCAGCAGUGGGGAAUUUUGGACAAUGGGCGAAAGCCUGAUCCAGCAAUGCCGCGUGAGUGAAGAAGGCCUUCGGGUUGUAAAGCUCUUUUGUCAGGGAAGAAACGGUGAAAGCUAAUAUCUUUUGCUAAUGACGGUACCUGAAGAAUAAGCACCGGCUAACUACGUGCCAGCAGCCGCGGUAAUACGUAGGGUGCAAGCGUUAAUCGGAAUUACUGGGCGUAAAGCGUGCGCAGGCGGUUUUGUAAGUCUGAUGUGAAAUCCCCGGGCUCAACCUGGGAAUUGCAUUGGAGACUGCAAGGCUAGAAUCUGGCAGAGGGGGGUAGAAUUCCACGUGUAGCAGUGAAAUGCGUAGAUAUGUGGAGGAACACCGAUGGCGAAGGCAGCCCCCUGGGUCAAGAUUGACGCUCAUGCACGAAAGCGUGGGGAGCAAACAGGAUUAGAAACCCCUGUAGUCCCA
RNAcentral lists this ribosomal RNA (472 nucleotides) under uncultured organism. RNAcentral's name for it is "partial 16S ribosomal RNA". It matches the Rfam family "Bacterial small subunit ribosomal RNA", at positions 334 to 797 of the family's 1533-position model. The record is from RNAcentral.